Molecule: ribosomal RNA, 253 nt
Filed under: uncultured bacterium
Lineage: Bacteria
Description: partial 16S ribosomal RNA
Rfam family: Bacterial small subunit ribosomal RNA
Source: RNAcentral
UACAGAGGUCUCGAGCGUUAAUCGGAAUUACUGGGCGUAAAGGGCGCGUAGGCGGCCUGCUAAGUCACACGUGAAAUCCCUCGGCUCAACCGGGGAACUGCGUGUGAUACUGGCGGGCUUGAAUUCGGGAGAGGGAUGUGGAAUUCCAGGUGUAGCGGUGAAAUGCGUAGAUAUCUGGAGGAACACCGGUGGCGAAGGCGGCAUCCUGGACCGAGAUUGACGCUGAGGCGCGAAAGCUAGGGGAGCAAACGGG